Molecule: ribosomal RNA, 433 nt
Filed under: uncultured bacterium
Lineage: Bacteria
Description: partial 16S ribosomal RNA
Rfam family: Bacterial small subunit ribosomal RNA
Source: RNAcentral
AACGAACGCUGGCGGCAUGCCUAACACAUGCAAGUCGAACGAGACCUUCGGGUCUAGUGGCGCACGGGUGCGUCACGUGUGGGAACCUGCCCUUAGGUUCGGAAUAACUCCCUGAAAGGGGUGCUAAUAUCGGAUAAUGUCUUCGGACCAAAGAUUCAUCGCCUUUGUAUGGGCCCGCGUUGGAUUAGCUAGUUGGUAGCGUAAAAGCCUACCAAGGCGACGAUCCAUAGCUGGUCUGAGAGGAUGAGCAGCCACACUGGGACUGAGACACGGCCCAGACUCCUACGGGAGGCAGCAGUGGGGAAUAUUGGACAAUGGGCGAAAGCCUGAUCCAGCAAUGCCGCGUGAGUGAUGAAGGCCUUAGGGUUGUAAAGCUCUUUUACCCGGGAUGAUAAUGACAGUACCGGGAGAAUAAGCUCCGGCUAACUCCGUG